Molecule: non-coding RNA, 785 nt
Organism: Vigna umbellata (rice bean)
Lineage: Eukaryota; Viridiplantae; Streptophyta; Magnoliopsida; Fabales; Fabaceae
Source: RefSeq, a predicted model, not a curated record
UAUUGCAAGAGAGUUGCGCAGACUCAACGGGUUCAUUUGUGAUAUAUGCUCCAGUAGAUAUUGUGGCAAUGAACGUGGUUCUGAAUGGAGGAGACCCUGAUUACGUGGCCCUUCUUCCUUCAGGAUUUGCUAUUCUCCCAGAUGGGACCACUGCACAUGGAGGAAGCAUAGGUGACACUGGAAAUGGUGGAUCUCUUUUGACUGUAGCCUUCCAAAUCUUGGUUGAUUCAGUUCCAACUGCAAAACUCUCUCUUGGAUCUGUUGCCACUGUUAACAAUCUUAUUGCCUGCACUGUUGAGAGAAUUAAGACUGCUUUAUCUGGUGAAGUUGCUUGAUCUAAGGUUUAAGAAAAGGAUGCAUUUUGGAGAAAUGGGAAGGUGUUGGAAACUUCGGCUUAUAAAAAAAAGAUGAGAAGUCAAGAGCGCACCUUGCAUGAUCCUUUCUUAACAUUCAAAACGAGAGGAUUAAGGUUCGGGAAUUGACUUCCAUGGAAAUAGUAAAUGCUAUAAGAGCUUAAAAAUCAAUGAAGACCAUAUACUUUUCUUCACCUUCCAAAAAUGCUUAUUUAUAGUUAGCUUUCUCGUUUGUUAUUAUUAGGUUGUAGCUUUGAGGUAACCUCUCGUGUUCCUUCUUCGGUUGUUAUUAUUUGAAUUUCAGCUCAAGCACCAACACUAUAGCUAGUAAUUGGGAAGCUUGAACCUUUAGUGUAGUGGUUAAAUUAUCACUAUACUAUAUGUUUGAUCCUUCUAAGAUUUUCAAAUGAAUGUUUCUUCCAAUUUGCCAAG